RNAcentral lists this ribosomal RNA (867 nucleotides) under uncultured bacterium. RNAcentral's name for it is "bacterial SSU rRNA". It matches the Rfam family "Bacterial small subunit ribosomal RNA", at positions 23 to 898 of the family's 1533-position model. The record is from RNAcentral.
CUCAGAACGAACGUUGGCGGCGUGGAUUAGGCAUGCAAGUCGAACGAAUCCCAGGGGGGUAACUCUCUGGGGGAAGUGGCGAAAGGGGCAGUAAAGCGUGGGUAACGUACCCCGGGGACCGGGAUAGCCUCUCUAACGAGUGGGUAAUACCGGGCGAUCCGGCGAGGGGGCAUCUCCUUGUCGGGAAAUGAAUUUCGCCUCGGGAGCGGCUCACGUGCUAUUACCUAGUUGGCGGGGUGACGGCCCACCAAGGGAAAGAUGGCUAGCAGGUGUGAGAGCACGACCUGCGCCACUGGCACUGAGACACUGGCCAGACUCCUACGGGAGGCUGCAGUCGAGGAUCUUCGGCAAUGGGCGCAAGCCUGACCGAGCGACGCCGCGUGUGCGAUGAAGGCCUUCGGGUUGUAAAGCACUGUCGAGGGGGAGGAAGCCGCAAGGUUGACCUAUCCCUGGAGGAAGCACGGGCUAAGUUCGUGCCAGCAGCCGCGGUAAGACGAACCGUGCGAACGUUGUUCGGAAUCACUGGGCUUAAAGGGCGCGUAGGCGGGUUCCCAAGUCCGGGGUGAAAUCUUUCGGCUCAACCGGAAAAUAGCCCUGGAUACUGGGGGUCUCGAGCGAGGUAGGGGCAGCUGGAACUUCCGGUGGAGCGGUGAAAUGCGUUGAUAUCGGAAGGAACGCCGGUGGCGAAAGCGAGCUGCUGGACCUCUUCUGACGCUGAGGCGCGAAAGCCAGGGGAGCAAACGGGAUUAGAUACCCCGGUAGUCCUGGCCCUAAACGAUGGGUACUAGGUAGUGGACUGGGCAUGGGUUCCCUGCCGAAGCUAAAGUGUUAAGUACCCCGCCUGGGGAGUAUGGUCGCAAGGCUGAA